Molecule: ribosomal RNA, 467 nt
Filed under: uncultured bacterium
Lineage: Bacteria
Description: partial 16S ribosomal RNA
Rfam family: Bacterial small subunit ribosomal RNA
Source: RNAcentral
GACGAACGCUGGCGGCGUGCUUAACACAUGCAAGUCGAACGGAAAGGCCCUGCUUUUGUGGGGUGCUCGAGUGGCGAACGGGUGAGUAACACGUGUGUAACCUGCCCUUGACUUUGGGAUAACUUCAGGAAACUGGGGCUAAUACCGGAUAGGAGCUCCUGUUGCAUGGUGGGGGUUGGAAAGUUUCGGCGGUUGGGGAUGGACUCGCGGCUUAUCAGCUUGUUGGUGGGGUAGUGGCUUACCAAGGCUUUGACGGGUAGCCGGCCUGAGAGGGUGACCGGCUACAUUGGGACUGAGAUACGGCCCAGGCGCCUACGGGAGGCAGCAGUGGGGAAUAUUGCAAGAUGGCGGAAGCCUGAUGCAGCAACGCCGCGUGCGGGAUGACGGCCUGCUGGUUGUGAACCGCUUUCGCCUGUGACGAAGCGUGAGUGACGGUAAUGGGUAAAGAAGCACCGGCUAACUACGUG